RNAcentral lists this ribosomal RNA (628 nucleotides) under uncultured bacterium. RNAcentral describes it as "bacterial SSU rRNA". The stretch from base 1 to 534 matches the Rfam family "Bacterial small subunit ribosomal RNA", at positions 338 to 873 of the family's 1533-position model. The record is from RNAcentral.
CCUACGGGAGGCAGCAGUAAGGAAUAUUGGUCAAUGGACGCAAGUCUGAACCAGCCAUGCCGCGUGAAGGAUUAAGGUCCUCUGGAUUGUAAACUUCUUUUAUCUGGGACGAAAAAAGGCGAUUCUUCGUCACUUGACGGUACCAGAUGAAUAAGCACCGGCUAACUCCGUGCCAGCAGCCGCGGUAAUACGGAGGGUGCAAGCGUUAUCCGGAUUCACUGGGUUUAAAGGGUGCGUAGGCGGGCAGGUAAGUCAGUGGUGAAAUCCUAGAGCUUAACUCUAGAACUGCCAUUGAUACUAUCUGUCUUGAAUAUUGUGGAGGUAAGCGGAAUAUGUCAUGUAGCGGUGAAAUGCUUAGAUAUGACAUAGAACACCUAUUGCGAAGGCAGCUUACUACGCAUAUAUUGACGCUGAGGCACAAAAGCGUGGGGAUCAAACAGGAUUAGAUACCCUGGUAGUCCACGCCCUAAACGAUGAUUACUCGACAUUUGUGAUACACUAUAAGUGUNUGAGNGAAGANAUAAGUAAUACACCNGGAGUACGACCGACGAGUAGAACGUACAAAUAGAAGUUAGUACGGACGUGAGGACGUUGGCCGACGGACGACGACGACGGGGAGGGUAGGGAG